This 1012-nucleotide long non-coding RNA is filed under the name Heterocephalus glaber (naked mole-rat). Its description in RNAcentral is "lncRNA (ENSHGLG00000038244.1)". The record is from RNAcentral. Lineage: Eukaryota; Metazoa; Chordata; Mammalia; Rodentia; Bathyergidae.
CAAUAAAACGGCAGGCUUGUCUUUGAUAAAUUCUAAGGCACUUUCCAGGUCUCUGGCUCUGUAAUUCCAUAAACCUGCCUGUUCCCUUUUUCUUGGGAACCCUAACCCAUGUGUGAACAACUAUUUCCCACAAGCUAACACUCAUGUGGGUUUGAUUUUUCCAUGGGGGACAGACACGGGAGAAGGUACAGGUAGAUCCAGCCAUACUCACUCUCCCGAGUGUGUUGAAUGUCUGUGGCCAGGAUAUUUCUGUAAAUUUAUGUUGAUUUUUAGAAUUAAAACAGCAUUCUAACAAGCUCAGCUCCUGGAGGAACGAAUAACCAUCACCAAGCAGAACUGUAUUUCCUUGGAGUCCUGAGACAUAGUAAUUACAGCCUCAGACCAGGAGCCUUAGGUAUUAAACUCGGAAUUUAAGCCCGGCCUUCACCUCCUUUUGCCUGGAGUCUGAACCAAGCUGGCCAGGGCAAAAAUCCUGGAGGUGCCGGAGCCGCUCCAGGGCCGCAUUCUCGAUGCACCGUGCUGGCGAGUUUAAUGGAGACCAUAUGCCGAGUUCCUGGGAAUCAGACCAGAUGGCUCCCGGGGAGUGUAUUUUAGCUCAACCUGCGGCUAAGGGACAAAAGUGAUCAUCAGGGGGCGGGGGAAGGUACAGUGAGAGCGGCGGUGCGACUUUUAAUUACUGUUCUCGUCAACAGAAAUCAUAAAUUGCAAUCUUGAAUGGACCUGGAAGGUCUUGUGCCAGAAUGGAAGUGCUGAGAUCUGUCCCUGCCAGACAGUGGGUGUGGAGAGCGUGGUGGAGGAAAGCCAACCAACUAUGGACUGAAACCUCUACAAACUUCUGACAACUCAUUUCUUUGCAUCGCUGAAUAAUAUCCCAUUGUGGGUAUGGACCAAAGCUUAUCCAUUUACCUACUGAAAGACACUUUGGCUCCUUCCGAUUUGGGAAGUUUAAAUUUUUAAUGAAGUCCAGCUUAUCAGUUAUUAUCAACUGACAAUGCUGAGGACUCCUGGUCAG